GGGGGUGCUAUAAUGCAGUCGAGCGAAUGGAUUAAGAGCUUGCUCUUAUGAAGUUAGCGGCGGACGGGUGAGUAACACGUGGGUAACCUGCCCAUAAGACUGGGAUAACUCCGGGAAACCGGGGCUAAUACCGGAUAACAUUUUGAACCGCAUGGUUCGAAAUUGAAAGGCGGCUUCGGCUGUCACUUAUGGAUGGACCCGCGUCGCAUUAGCUAGUUGGUGAGGUAACGGCUCACCAAGGCAACGAUGCGUAGCCGACCUGAGAGGGUGAUCGGCCACACUGGGACUGAGACACGGCCCAGACUCCUACGGGAGGCAGCAGUAGGGAAUCUUCCGCAAUGGACGAAAGUCUGACGGAGCAACGCCGCGUGAGUGAUGAAGGCUUUCGGGUCGUAAAACUCUGUUGUUAGGGAAGAACAAGUGCUAGUUGAAUAAGCUGGCACCUUGACGGUACCUAACCAGAAAGCCACGGCUAACUACGUGCCAGCAGCCGCGGUAAUACGUAGGUGGCAAGCGUUAUCCGGAAUUAUUGGGCGUAAAGCGCGCGCAGGUGGUUUCUUAAGUCUGAUGUGAAAGCCCACGGCUCAACCGUGGAGGGUCAUUGGAAACUGGGAGACUUGAGUGCAGAAGAGGAAAGUGGAAUUCCAUGUGUAGCGGUGAAAUGCGUAGAGAUAUGGAGGAACACCAGUGGCGAAGGCGACUUUCUGGUCUGUAACUGACACUGAGGCGCGAAAGCGUGGGGAGCAAACAGGAUUAGAUAU
RNAcentral lists this ribosomal RNA (761 nucleotides) under Bacillus cereus. RNAcentral's name for it is "bacterial SSU rRNA". It matches the Rfam family "Bacterial small subunit ribosomal RNA", at positions 40 to 785 of the family's 1533-position model. The record is from RNAcentral. Lineage: Bacteria; Bacillati; Bacillota; Bacilli; Caryophanales; Bacillaceae.